GAAGAAGGCCUUCGGGUUGUAAAGCACUUUUGUCCGGAAAGAAAUCCUUGGCUCUAAUACAGCCGGGGGAUGACGGUACCGGAAGAAUAAGCACCGGCUAACUACGUGCCAGCAGCCGCGGUAAUACGUAGGGUGCAAGCGUUAAUCGGAAUUACUGGGCGUAAAGCGUGCGCAGGCGGUUUGCUAAGACCGAUGUGAAAUCCCCGGGCUCAACCUGGGACCUGCAUUGGUGACUGGCAGGCUAGAGUAUGGCAGAGGGGGGUAGAAUUCCACGUGUAGCAGUGAAAUGCGUAGAGAUGUGGAGGAAUACCGAUGGCGAAGGCAGCCCCCUGGGCCAAUACUGACGCUCAUGCACGAAAGCGUGGGGAGCAAACAGGAUUAGAUACCCUGGUAGUCCACGCCCUAAACGAUGUCAACUAGUUGUUGGGGAUUCAUUUCCUUAGUAACGUAGCUAAACGCGUGAAGUUGACCGCCUGGGGGAGUACGGUCGCAAGAUUAAAACUCAAAAGGAAUUGACGGGGACCCGCACAAGCGGUGGGAUGAUGUGGAUUAAUUCGAUGCAACGCGAAAAAACCUUACCUACCCUUGACAUGGUCGGAAUCCCGCUGAGAGGCGGGAGUGCUCGAAAGAGAACCGGCGCACAGGUGCUGCAUGGCUGUCGUCAGCUCGUGUCGUGAGAUGUUGGGUUAAGUCCCGCAACGAGCGCAACCCUUGUCCUUAGUUGCUACGCAAGAGCACUCUAAGGAGACUGCCGGUGACAAACCGGAGGAAGGUGGGGAUGACGUCAAGUCCUCAUGGCCCUUAUGGGUAGGGCUUCACACGUCAUACAAUGGUCGGAACAGAGGGUUGCCAACCCGCGAGGGGGAGCUAAUCCCAGAAAACCGAUCGUAGUCCGGAUUGCACUCUGCAACUCGAGUGCAUGAAGCUGGAAUCGCUAGUAAU
RNAcentral lists this ribosomal RNA (942 nucleotides) under Burkholderia sp. Its description in RNAcentral is "bacterial SSU rRNA". It matches the Rfam family "Bacterial small subunit ribosomal RNA", at positions 407 to 1342 of the family's 1533-position model. The record is from RNAcentral. Lineage: Bacteria; Pseudomonadati; Pseudomonadota; Betaproteobacteria; Burkholderiales; Burkholderiaceae.